AUGGCACUGGCCAUGGUCAGCCAGGGGCCAUGAGGGCUGCCAGGAGCCUGGGGCAGCAGCAGAGGCUGUGCCAGAGCCAGCCUGGGAGGCACCGGCUGUGGAAUUCCUGGAUGCUGCUCCAAGCAGCUGUGGCUGGACUUUGACACAUGUUCUCAAAGUGAGGUCAGGCUUUCAAAACCCACUGAAACCCCCAAAGCGUGGAAAACCAUGAUGUCCCUGGGAGUGCUGGUGUGUGGGACAUGGAUCUGCUGGCAUUCCAGGGAAAGCUCCUGCUGUCACUUCCCCUGGGGCUGGUGGCUCUUCCAGCCUGGGCAGUGCUGCCAUGGAGCAGCUCUUGCUGCCAGCCCUUCCCUCUCCAGGCUUCCCGUGAUCCCCGUUUUGCUGGGAAUGGGCCCUCAGAGGGGGAGCGGGUGGCUCAGGCUGGAACGAGUGCUGCUUUGGGAAUGUCCAUAGGAUGGGGUUUGGAUGGGAUGGGAAGGUCCUGGCUGCCAGAUCCAGCAGAGCUUUUCUCUCCUGCACCGCACCUGACCCCACGUGAAUUUCCAUCUGGGAUUGCAGGAGGAGCCAGGAGCCGUCCUCUCCUUUGAUGGUGUCUGUUGGAGAGAGGAACAAAGCCAAGGGCUCACCUGCUUUGGAAGGAGGCUCUGCUCCCUCUCCCCAUCCCAGACCUGGAGUCAGGCUCACACAUCAUAAAGUGUCCCUGCCGUGGCACUGCUGCCCUGGAACACGGAGCUGUUUUAUGUGCCGAGAACCAGGAAUGUCUGCACGGAGCCUCAGCCACGGCGGGAGCAGCUGCAGGGAUUUCACCUUUGGAUCCUGGCAAUUGUCGAAGCAAGAAGGCCGAGGAAUUGCAAACACAUUCAGCUCCAAGCUCAUCUGUUGGGAUUUUUUUGCCUUCCUGAAAGCAGGAAUGAGACGAGGUCUCCAAAGAGUCUCUGCUCCACAUUUCCACCCAAUUUUCUUGGCCUGAGGGGUUGCACGAGUUCGGAGAAGCCUUCAAGCCUCUGAGCGUUCUCCCCAGAGCUGCGCUGGUGACAGAAAGGAUCUCCAGAACUGCUCCACUCCGUCCCCCCGCAAUUCCCAACUUCCUGAGUUUCUCCCAGCUCCGCUCCAGCCCCGCUCCGACCCUGAGGUAAUGGGGCAGCAGUAAAACCUUAGGAGGUACAAAUGAACUGCCGGGGAUUAAAGCCCCAGCGCAGCCUCCUGCGAGGCUUUAAAAGCAUCCUGUUUGCAAACAGCUCUGGGGCUGCAUCCCGCAUUCCUGGGCAUUCGCCCUCUCCUGCUUUUUUCAUCUGCAGGGAGGAACUGCAGCUGGAGCAGCUCGCCAGGUCCGGUUCUUCCAUCCCCCUGGGGCACCAGGAGCGCUGAUCAUUCAGCCCCUUCCCGAGAGUUUUGCCUUGCCCUACAUUUUUCCGAGGCGCUUUUCUAAAAGUGCUUUCAUUCCGGCUUGUCCGUGUGUUUUCCUGGAUGUCUGGGAGAUGUGUGGGAGGUGAGCUGUGCCCUCCAGGGAGGCUCCCGGGGCACCAGGACACCUUAGGGCACGAGUGAGAUCCAACCUCACCUGCAAACACGUUGUGCCUUGGGCUUCUCUGAGCUCAUUUGAUGCCCCAUGGGGUUCCCCCACUGCAUCCAGCCUUUCCUGAAGGAAAAUUCGCACCCUUUUCCUUGGACUACAGAGCUGAGCACCCCAAACCAUCCUAUAAAUUUCCAGCAGUCCCGUGUGGUGGAGUUUGGAGGCUGAGUUCGUGUAGGAUAAUCUGUGCAGAGAGCGGCUGAGCAGCUCUUGGCAGAAGUGGGAAGUGGUUGGAACUGGGAAGUAGCUGGAACUGGGAUGUGCUGGGGCAUUUGGGAUCAUUUACAGAGGGUUUUUUCCAGGCCAUGCAGCUUGGCACCGAGACAUUUUUUUGGAGAGCUCAGGCAGCUCAUCCCAGCUAUUGCACGGAUCUUUGAAGAUUAGUCUGGAUAACUUU
Molecule: long non-coding RNA, 1970 nt
Organism: Cyanistes caeruleus (blue tit)
Lineage: Eukaryota; Metazoa; Chordata; Aves; Passeriformes; Paridae
Source: Ensembl